RNAcentral lists this ribosomal RNA (253 nucleotides) under uncultured bacterium. Its description in RNAcentral is "partial 16S ribosomal RNA". It matches the Rfam family "Bacterial small subunit ribosomal RNA", at positions 335 to 605 of the family's 1533-position model. The record is from RNAcentral.
GUACCUACGGGGGGCAGCAGUGGGGAAUAUUGGGCAAUGGGGGAAACCCUGACCCAGCGACGCCGCGUGAGGGAAGAAGGUUUUCGGAUUGUAAACCUCUGUCCUUGGUGACGAUAAUGACGGUAGCCAAGGAGGAAGCCACGGCUAACUACGUGCCAGCAGCCGCGGUAAUACGUAGGUGGCGAGCGUUUUCCGGAAUUACUGGGGGUAAAGGGAGCGUAGGCGGGAGAGCAAGUCGACUUUGGAAGCUAUG